RNAcentral lists this transfer RNA (75 nucleotides) under Fibrobacter sp. Its description in RNAcentral is "tRNA-Val". It matches the Rfam family "tRNA". From Rfam's summary of the family: Transfer RNA (tRNA) molecules are approximately 80 nucleotides in length. Lineage: Bacteria; Pseudomonadati; Fibrobacterota; Fibrobacteria; Fibrobacterales; Fibrobacteraceae. The record is from RNAcentral. RNAcentral also lists the same sequence under 1 other name.
GGGCGAUUAGCUCAGCUGGUUCAGAGCAGCUGCCUUACAAGCAGCGGGUCGGCGGUUCGAAUCCGUCAUCGCCCA